Molecule: long non-coding RNA, 408 nt
Organism: Triticum dicoccoides
Lineage: Eukaryota; Viridiplantae; Streptophyta; Magnoliopsida; Poales; Poaceae
Exons: 5
Source: RefSeq, a predicted model, not a curated record
CCGCCUGCGUUCGCCACCAUGCGAUCGACUUCCUCCCUCAGCUCCUUUUCUCUACGCUCUGUCAGGCUGCAACAUCCUAAGUUUCUAUUUUCUAUCUUGGCUCCACUGGCAGUAGUAGGAUGCUCAUUGGCAACCCAAGGUGUGUAUGCCCCUACUUCCCCAAGAUGUAUGCUGCUGUGAGGCAUGUAGCACCACUUCUCCUGACUGCUAUAAUCAGUGGAAGAUCUCAUGACAUGAUAGGCGUCAUGGUCUCAUGGAAUGGACAUCAUGGGGCUUAUUAGGAACUCUGGGUUCAGCGGGCACCAUGCCGAAAGAGGUCAAUCUCUUCCAAUACACAAUCGCUAAGGUAUGUAUCAAUGUCUAAAGGUUAAAAAAGACCCAGGUUACACCAUAUGGUUUAGGUUGCUC